CCCUUAGAUGUUCUGGGCCGCACGCGUGCUACACUGAGUGGAUCAGCGGGUCAGGUUGCGCGAAAGCGUUUCCUAAUCUUUAAAUCCGCUCGUGAUGGGGAUUGACGGUUGCAAUUUUCUGUCAUGAACGAGGAAUACCUUGUAAGCGCGGGUCAUCAUCCCGCGCUGAAUACGUCCCUGCCCUUUGUACACACCGCCCGUCGCUCCUACCGAUUGAGUGGUCCGGUGAGGCUUUGGGAUAUGAGCGGAAAGAGCGUUUCGCUGUUUCUGCUCGGAAAACUCAGUCGAACCUUAUCAUUUAGAGGAAGGAGAAGUCGUAACA
RNAcentral lists this ribosomal RNA (322 nucleotides) under uncultured eukaryote. Its description in RNAcentral is "partial 18S ribosomal RNA". It matches the Rfam family "Eukaryotic small subunit ribosomal RNA", at positions 1470 to 1796 of the family's 1831-position model. The record is from RNAcentral.